AUGAGAUACAUCAGAGAGUUGGAGGACUGCAAACCGAAGAAGAGUGCUCCGCAUUCAGCUCCGAAUGUUGUACAACCAAGGCAGAGGUGGAUCUCUCCACCGCCGGGGUUCGCGAAGAUAAGAGUUGAUGGAGCGGUCUCGAGAGACAACCUGCAUGGCUCGUUCAGCGCAAUCUGCAGAGACUCCUAUGGCCAGUUUUUGGGUGCAUCAGCAAUCAAAAUACAGGGGGUCACGGAGCCCGCAACUCUCGAAGCACUGGCUUGCCGAGAGGCGCUAGCACUAGCUUCAGACUUGGCCCUGUCCGAUUUCAUUGUGGCAGACGACAUCAAGAAUGGUACGGGAGGGACGUAUGCUAGCAUCGUCAAAGAGAUUAGUGAAACGUCAAGAGACUUUCAUCAAUGUACCUUCAUCUUCGAAGGUAGAUCCACCAAUAUUGAGGCGCAUAGUCUCGCUAAGCACGCUUUCGGUCUGGAUCUUGGGCGCCAUUUGUGGCUUAUAAACCCACCAGACAUUCAUUGUAUCCCUAUGAACUUAUUUGAAUAA
RNAcentral lists this ribosomal RNA (543 nucleotides) under Triticum aestivum (bread wheat). Its description in RNAcentral is "partial small subunit ribosomal RNA". Lineage: Eukaryota; Viridiplantae; Streptophyta; Magnoliopsida; Poales; Poaceae. The record is from RNAcentral.